AUAGCCUAGGCUCGGUAAAAUCUUGAAGCUGAACUUCUCGCAGUGCUGCCGCGUAUCUAUUCUCGCGAAGUCUUUUAAAGGCGCAAGCCAGAGUCUCUUCCUCCGUAGUCGCAAAAAACACAAACCUCCAAAAUGGACGCGAUCAAGAAGAAGAUGCAAGCGAUGAAGCUUGAGAAGGAUAAUGCUAUGGAUAAAGCUGACACCUGCGAGCAACAAGCUAAAGAUGCCAACUUGAGAGCAGAAAAGGUAAACGAGGAGGUUCGUGAACUGAUCAAGAAACUCGGACAAGUCGAAGCUGACUUGGCCAUGAACAAGAACAACUUGGAGCAAGCCAAUAAGGAUCUCGAAGAGAAAGAAAAGACCUUGACCGCCACCGAGUCUGAAGUGGCUGCACUCAACAGGAAGGUGCAACAAAUUGAAGAAGAUUUGGAAAAAUCUGAAGAACGUGCCGGAAGCGCUACCACCAAAUUGCUUGAAGCCACACAAGCUGCCGAUGAAAACAACCGUAUGUGCAAAGUAUUGGAGAACCGCUCACAACAAGAUGAAGAGCGAAUGGACCAAUUGACCAACCAAUUGAAGGAAGCACGUCUCUUGGCUGAAGAUGCUGAUGGUAAAUCUGAUGAAGUUUCACGCAAGUUGGCCUUCGUUGAAGAUGAACUUGAAGUAGCUGAAGACCGUGUUAAGGGAGGUGACAGCAAGAUCAUGGAGUUGGAAGAAGAAUUGAAGGUUGUAGGAAACUCCUUGAAAUCUUUAGAAGUAUCCGAAGAAAAGGCCAACCAAAGAGUAGAAGAAUUCAAACGCCAAUUGAAGACUUUGACCGUCAAACACAAGGAAGCCGAAGCUCGUGCCGAGUUCGCCGAAAAGACCGUCAAGAAACUGCAAAAGGAAGUCGACAGGCUGGAAGACGAACUAUUCCACGAGAAAGAGAAAUACAAAUCGAUCUGCGCAGAUCUCGAUCAAACUUUCGCCGAGCUUACUGGAUACUAACAAAAGCCUCCUUUCUCUACCUUUCCAAAAGACCUCAUCUGCAACCAAAACCUACAUCUUUUUCAUUCUUUCACUUAAAAAAUUCUUUCGAAAUAUCAUAAAUUCGAUCUUCGAAUCUAAUUCAUUGGAAAUAAAAUUUUGUUUCUCCGGUAACAUAUUUCGGUCAUUAUUAAUUUUUUUUCAUGUCAUUUCAAUUUUAUUUAUAUCUUACUUUGUCUUCAAUUUUGCUUUCAAACGUCAGUCAGAGAACGAUUUACAAUUUUAAAUUCAUCAUUUGUAUUUCAAAAUUGUAAAUUUUCUUUAGCCAGUUCAAGCAAGAUUGCAAGUAAACUAUGCAAGAUUAAUAACUUUUCAAAUUUGAAUGACAUAGCCUUCUAUAUUUACUUAUAUCCGUUACUAUCUCUGAGAUUUUUGCUAAUUCUUGGACUGGUAGUUUUAUUCUUCUCUCCAUUUUUUCAUCAAAUUAUCCUCCUCUAAUGUAUCGUCAAAUGUGUUCUUUGCAAUCGAUAUUGUGUUUACUAAAUAACAAAAGCUACAGCUGCUCGGCCGAUUAAAGCAUCGCUCCGCAAUGUCGUAAUGCAAAGACGAAUUGGGCAUCAACAAAGACAGAUACAAGAGCUUGG
Ctenocephalides felis (cat flea) is the source of this 1610-nucleotide RNA transcript. It is a transcript of the gene named tropomyosin-1, with no coding region annotated. NCBI's taxonomy places the organism in Eukaryota, Metazoa, Arthropoda, Insecta, Siphonaptera, Pulicidae. The transcript is spliced from 7 exons. The record is from RefSeq and is a predicted model, not a curated record.